GCCAGCGUGGUCCAGUGGUUUGAAUGUUGGACUAUGACUCUGGAGAUCAGGGUUUAAUUCCCAGCUCAGUGA
Phrynosoma platyrhinos (Desert horned lizard) is the source of this 72-nucleotide non-coding RNA. The record is from the annotation of a GenBank genome assembly. NCBI's taxonomy places the organism in Eukaryota, Metazoa, Chordata, Lepidosauria, Squamata, Phrynosomatidae.